CAAUAGCAUAUAUUAACGUUGUUGCAGUUGAAAAGCUCGUAGUUGAACUUUUGGUAGGAGCGACCUGGCCCUGGGCGCAUGCCCUUGUUUGCCGUGUGUCGUAUCUGGCCAUCCUUUUCUUCUUUUUGGAAGGAAUCUUUUACUGUGAGUAAACUGGAGUGCUCAAAACAAGACGUUUGUUUGGUACAUUAAAGCAUGGAAUAAUAAGAUAGGACCUGGUUACUAUUUUGUUGGUUUGCAUAGCUAGGUAAUGAUUAACAGGGACAGUUGGGGGUAUUCGUAUUUAAUUGUCAGAGGUGAAAUUCCUGGAUUUAUGAAAGACGAACGACUGCGAAAGCAUUUACCAAGGAUGUUUUCAUUAA
RNAcentral lists this ribosomal RNA (362 nucleotides) under uncultured eukaryote. RNAcentral's name for it is "partial 18S ribosomal RNA". It matches the Rfam family "Eukaryotic small subunit ribosomal RNA", at positions 592 to 976 of the family's 1831-position model. The record is from RNAcentral.